RNAcentral lists this ribosomal RNA (253 nucleotides) under uncultured bacterium. RNAcentral's name for it is "partial 16S ribosomal RNA". It matches the Rfam family "Bacterial small subunit ribosomal RNA", at positions 524 to 776 of the family's 1533-position model. The record is from RNAcentral.
UACGUAGGGCGCAAGCGUUGUCCGGAAUUAUUGGGCGUAAAGAGCUCGUAGGCGGCUUGUCACGUCGGGUGUGAAAGCCCGGGGCCUAACCCCGGGUCUGCAUUCGAUACGGGCUAGCUAGAGUGUGGUAGGGGAGAUCGGAAUUCCUGGUGUAGCGGUGAAAUGCGCAGAUAUCAGGAGGAACACCGGUGGCGAAGGCGGAUCUCUGGGCCAUUACUGACGCUGAGGAGCGAAAGCCAGGGGAGCAAACGGG